Long non-coding RNA from Balaenoptera musculus (blue whale), 114 nucleotides. RefSeq lists it as uncharacterized. The record is from RefSeq and is a predicted model, not a curated record. Lineage: Eukaryota; Metazoa; Chordata; Mammalia; Artiodactyla; Balaenopteridae. The transcript is spliced from 3 exons.
AGGUGUACAGCUCAGGGGCAUUAAGCACAUUCUCUUUGUUGUGCAAGUAUCACCACCAUCCCUCUCCAGAACUUUCUCAUCUUCCCAAACUAAAAUUCUGCUCUCUUUAAACAA